This is a long non-coding RNA of Salvia miltiorrhiza (redroot sage), 1555 nucleotides long. RefSeq lists it as uncharacterized. The transcript is spliced from 3 exons. The record is from RefSeq and is a predicted model, not a curated record. Lineage: Eukaryota; Viridiplantae; Streptophyta; Magnoliopsida; Lamiales; Lamiaceae.
AUUUCUAUUCACAUCACUUAUUUUAUUUUAAAAAACACAAAAUCUAACAUUUCUCUACCCCAAUUCGGCAAUUCCCAAAACCUAAAAUCAAUUCCCCUUCUCCCAUCUCUCACAUCCGAUUCUCCCCUCCCCCGCCGCCGCAAUCUGCCCCACUGCGCCCCGCCCCUCCACCGCCACGAUCUGCUUCGCUGGACCACCUUCAAACCUGAAACCCUAAUCUAGCGCGCCUCCACAAUCUGCACACACUUGCGCCCCUCUGAGGCGCGACCAGACCCCGUCGCACCACCUUCGGCCGCCGUCGCGUCGCCGCGCUGCGCCGUCGCGACCAGAGCAGUCCGCCAGUUGCGCGCUUGGAGCAGGGGAUGAUACAGUCAGGUUUAUGCUGAGUUGGCUUCAAAGUAUCGUGUUCAAGUUUUCAAGACUUUGAAGCUCAAAGUGGGGAAGAACUUGACAUCUGAUAUUGAAGUUCUUAAAGCUAUACGCACAAUCCAUUCUGAUUGUUUGUUAAUUUUGGAGUGUGGAGAGGUUUGAUUUUAUUAGUCUGUUCUGAGUAAUUAACAUAACUCAAGGAAGUUCCGUAUUACUGUUAGGUUUAUGCUGAGUUGGCUUCAAAGUAUCGUGUUCAAGUUUUGCAAGACUUUGAAGCUCAAAGUGGGGAAGAACUUGACAUCUGAUAUUGAAGUUCUUAAAGCUAUACGCACAGUCCAUUCUGAUUGUUUGUUCAUUUUAGAUGCUAAUAAAGGUUAUAUCUUUGAGGAAGCCAUUCAAGUUCUCCAAAAAUUUCACGGCAGAGGAUCCAGUUCUUGGGGGUUAUGAAGGUUAAAAUUGCCUUGAUUCUCCAGCACGGGUCUUAACUUAACGUCAGCAGACACUGUUGUGUUCUUGGAGUUACCCACGAACCCUGCUGAUAUUCAACAGGUGCCUUUGAUACCCUAUUAAUCUUUUGAUCAGGUGGAGUCUGCAAUUGAUAAAAUUGGAGAAGUGGGGGUGAGUUUGUGGAAUAGCGCAGACCAAGUGAUUGGAGCUAUUACGUCCCUUACGGGUGCAGUGAAGCCCGUCGUAGAUGCAGUGUGGCCUAUAUUAAAGCAAGCUGGAUAGCACAUUCAAUCUUUUGAAGAUAAAAUAUUUUGUUGCUGAUUCUUUUAGAUGUGGGUUUGGGGAUCAUCGGGUUCCACUUGCAUUCAAGCUUGAUCUCUUAAAGAAACUAUUGCAAGGUAUGGCAUGGCAGGGAAGCAUAUUUCUCAUUCUUGGGUUGAUUUCUCAAGGUACACAGUGCAUUCUUUUGGGAUUUGGUGUAAUGAAAAAUUUACAUGCUAUGUGACAGUACGGGGUGACAAGGCAAUGCAAAUCAUUCAGAGUGGACUGAAGGUGAAGGUGUAUGAACUGUUGAGAAGAAACUUUAGUGAAAUUAGUUGUUUUGGCUUUUAGUAUUCAGGAGCAUAUUGCUCUUAGAAUUAAUUAAAUCUCACUUGCUCUCUUGCGAAAGUUGUUGCUUGAUACAUCUCGUGCUGCCAAAUGUUUUUGAAAUAUAAAUUGAAUUAUAUGCUUGAUAAUA